Molecule: long non-coding RNA, 788 nt
Organism: Syngnathus acus (greater pipefish)
Lineage: Eukaryota; Metazoa; Chordata; Actinopteri; Syngnathiformes; Syngnathidae
Exons: 2
Source: RefSeq, a predicted model, not a curated record
UUAGGGCUAUACAAAUAAACUUGACUUGACUUGACUUGACUUGACUUGACAUGACUUGAUCCUAGAUGUCGAUAUCACUUAAUAGUCACUUAACAGAUAAUAGUGACAGAUUUCAAAAUAACUUGUGUAGAGGUGAAAAACCACCUCGCUGGAUUUAGUGUCAUGUGUGUGUCAGGGUCCGGGAGGUUUUUCCCUUAUCCACAUGGGGGCAGCCGUGAGCAGAGUGGAGGAGGACCCAGAGGUGUGGCUGAUCCCCACAGCUCUUGGAUCCCCUGACUUGGACCGCCGACCGGCUCCACUCUGCUCAGACCGAACCACUCACGCUCCACAAUCACAGCUCUAAUUCCGUGCCCCUGGCUCGGACCCCCAGCACUAUUGCUUCCUCACUCCCUUCAAUACAAACUCCACAUCCAUCUGGGACUCCUGAUCGGUUUCUGCAUGUGGGUCAAACACUCGCUAAAACUAUGACAGAGUCCACACAAGAGAGCUCAUCCCUUCCUCUUACACACACACCUCUGCUCAGCCAAAUUUAUUGUGACUUAAUCAUGUCACACACCAACAUGAUGGAAAUUGACUCCUACAGUACUAAGACCACAGGCCAGUCAUUCUCAUCAAUGCACAUUAUUAACAGUAUUGUUUUGAUGUUUUCCUGUAGGGAAUUGUUGACUGCUGGCUUUGUUUCUUUAAUAUAGGAGCUUUGACUUACUACAUCUGGAUGCUUUAAAUACCAAUGUGAAUGUCAUGACAGCAAUGCACUUGAUGUCAUACAAAUCAACUUCAUUCUAAAG